Molecule: transfer RNA, 70 nt
Filed under: Ophichthus brevicaudatus
Lineage: Eukaryota; Metazoa; Chordata; Actinopteri; Anguilliformes; Ophichthidae
Description: tRNA-Ser
Source: RNAcentral
GAGAGAGUGGGACCUAGUCUGAGAGAUUGCUAACCUUUCGAACCUGCGGUUAAACCCCGCAGCUCCCUCG